This 1343-nucleotide ribosomal RNA is filed under the name uncultured bacterium. RNAcentral describes it as "16S ribosomal RNA". It matches the Rfam family "Bacterial small subunit ribosomal RNA", at positions 28 to 1378 of the family's 1533-position model. The record is from RNAcentral.
GACGAACGCUGGCGGCGUGCUUAACACAUGCAAGUCGAACGGAAAGGCCCUGCUUUUGUGGGGUGCUCGAGUGGCGAACGGGUGAGUAACACGUGAGUAACCUGCCCUUGACUUUGGGAUAACUUCAGGAAACUGGGGCUAAUACCGGAUAGGAGCUCCUGCUGCAUGGUGGGGGUUGGAAAGUUUCGGCGGUUGGGGAUGGACUCGCGGCUUAUCAGCUUGUUGGUGGGGUAGUGGCUUACCAAGGCUUUGACGGGUAGCCGGCCUGAGAGGGUGACCGGCCACAUUGGGACUGAGAUACGGCCCAGACUCCUACGGGAGGCAGCAGUGGGGAAUAUUGCACAAUGGGCGGAAGCCUGAUGCAGCAACGCCGCGUGCGGGAUGACGGCCUUCGGGUUGUAAACCGCUUUCGCCUGUGACGAAGCGUGUGUGACGGUAAUGGGUAAAGAAGCACCGGCUAACUACGUGCCAGCAGCCGCGGUGAUACGUAGGGUGCGAGCGUUGUCCGGAUUUAUUGGGCGUAAAGGGCUCGUAGGUGGUUGAUCGCGUCGGAAGUGUAAUCUUGGGGCUUAACCCUGAGCGUGCUUUCGAUACGGGUUGACUUGAGGAAGGUAGGGGAGAAUGGAAUUCCUGGUGGAGCGGUGGAAUGCGCAGAUAUCAGGAGGAACACCAGUGGCGAAGGCGGUUCUCUGGGCCUUUCCUGACGCUGAGGAGCGAAAGCGUGGGGAGCGAACAGGCUUAGAUACCCUGGUAGUCCACGCUGUAAACGGUGGGUACUAGGUGUGGGGUCCAUUCCACGGGUUCCGUGCCGUAGCUAACGCUUUAAGUACCCCGCCUGGGGAGUACGGCCGCAAGGCUAAAACUCAAAGGAAUUGACGGGGCCCCGCACAAGCGGCGGAGCAUGCGGAUUAAUUCGAUGCAACGCGUAGAACCUUACCUGGGUUUGACAUGGAUCGGGAGUGCUCAGAGAUGGGUGUGCCUCUUUUGGGGUCGGUUCACAGGUGGUGCAUGGCUGUCGUCAGCUCGUGUCGUGAGAUGUUGGGUUAAGUCCCGCAACGAGCGCAACCCUUGUUCACUGUUGCCAGCACGUUAUGGUGGGGACUCAGUGGAGACCGCCGGGGUCAACUCGGAGGAAGGUGGGGAUGACGUCAAGUCAUCAUGCCCCUUAUGUCCAGGGCUUCACGCAUGCUACAAUGGCUGGUACAGAGAGUGGCGAGCCUGUGAGGGUGAGCGAAUCUCGGAAAGCCGGUCUCAGCUCGGAUUGGGGUCUGCAACUCGACCUCAUGAAGUCGGAGUCGCUAGUAAUCGCAGAUCAGCAACGCUGCGGUGAAUACGUUCCCGGG